CUCAUCAAGAAUGUGGUGACACGUCUUUAGGGUAUGGAGAGAGGUUAGCAGAAGUUGCUUUCAAAGUGACUGUAUUGUAUUAUAUUCUAUCUCCUCUGGCAGCAUAAAUUCUGCUCAUCUUCUUCACAACAGAAUCCAUUGGUAGGAAGACAUAACAUAUUGUUGAAAGCAGCUAGCAUGCAUGCCCACUAAAGACAACGCAACUUUUGAUCUGUUCUCCAAAAAUUUUAUCCAACAAAAGAUAAGAUGAACAAGAAAUGAUCCUCGUAGUAACCUUGAAAAAAGGAGGGACCAACAACACACAACAUCAAAUGCCAACAAAGGACGAUAGAUAGAUAUAUAACUGGCCAAAUCAGUGAAAAGAAGAAAACACUGCCACCAAGUAAUCAGGUACUCUUACUAUCACUCACAAAUGCAGUUGUCAGCAUGUCCUAGAGACACGAGAGAUAUUGUCAAUAUAAUCAUGGCUUCUUAUGCCUUCUAUGUUGUCAUAAUAAAGCUCUUAUUCUUAUACAGAAAGAAAUACAUAACAAUGCUAGGUAGGUAAAAUUCGAGAUUCAGAAACCAGAAUGAAGCACAGUUCAGCCAAUCAAUCAAGCUUGGGAAACAAGGCUCAAUAAUUGAUUAUACGUACUCUAUACAGAAUCCUCUAAAUUAUAAUUUGCAAGAAUACCAUAUAUCACCAAGUGUAAAAGAUCAAAGAACUUGUAUAUCACUCAAGCCACACCCUUUGGAUAUUUUUUUUAUCAUAUUAGGUUAAAUUAUUCAUUUAUUCUUUAUUCUUUAUGAUUGUCCCUAAGUUUUAGGUUCUACAUGAAAAAAAAUAUAAUUCUCAUGC
RNAcentral lists this long non-coding RNA (838 nucleotides) under Glycine max (soybean). RNAcentral describes it as "long non-coding RNA (GMAX_LNC001752)". Lineage: Eukaryota; Viridiplantae; Streptophyta; Magnoliopsida; Fabales; Fabaceae. The record is from RNAcentral.